ACGUACGCUGGCGGCACGCCUAACACAUGCAAGUCGAACGAAGUAGCAAUACUUAGUGGCAAACGGGUGAGUAUGAUGUGGGUAUCUGCCCUUUGGUAUGGAAUAACACGAGGAAACUUGUGCUAAUACUGUAUAAGCCUUCACAGGGAAAGCUUUAUGCGCCGAAGGAUGAGCCUGCACUUGAUUAGCUAGUUGGUAAGGUAAUAGCUUACCAAGGCAACGAUCAAUAGCUGAUCUGAGAGGAUGAUCAGCCACAUUGGGACUGAGACACGGCCCAAACUCCUACGGGAGGCAGCAGUGGGGAAUCUUGCACAAUGGGGGAAACCCUGAUGCAGCGAUGCCGCGUGAGUGAAGAAGGCCUUUGGGUUGUAAAGCUCUUUCGUCGGGGAAGAAAAUGACUGUACCCGAAUAAGAAGGUCCGGCUAACUUCGUGCCAGCAGCCGCGGUAAUACGAAGGGACCUAGCGUAGUUCGGAAUUACUGGGCUUAAAGAGCUCGUAGGUGGUUAGAAAAGUUAGUGGUGAAAUCCCAAGGCUUAACCUUGGAACUGCCACUAAAACUUUUUAACUAGAGUAUGGUAGAGGUAAGCGGAAUUUCUAGUGUAGAGGUGAAAUUCGUAGAUAUUAGAAAGAACACCAAUUGCGAAGGCAGCUUUCUGGAUCAUUACUGACACUGAGGAGCGAAAGCAUGGGUAGCGAAGAGGAUUAGAUACCCUCGUAGUCCAUGCUGUAAACGAUGUGUGCUAGACGUUGGAAAUUUAUUUUUCAGUGUCGCAGCAAAAGCGUUAAGCACACCGCCUGGGGAGUACGACCGCAAGUAAGCUAUGAUAG
This 829-nucleotide ribosomal RNA is filed under the name alpha proteobacterium SCGC AAA240-E14. RNAcentral's name for it is "SSU rRNA". It matches the Rfam family "Bacterial small subunit ribosomal RNA", at positions 29 to 908 of the family's 1533-position model. The record is from RNAcentral. Lineage: Bacteria; Pseudomonadati; Pseudomonadota; Alphaproteobacteria.